Molecule: long non-coding RNA, 689 nt
Organism: Rhinolophus ferrumequinum (greater horseshoe bat)
Lineage: Eukaryota; Metazoa; Chordata; Mammalia; Chiroptera; Rhinolophidae
Exons: 3
Source: RefSeq, a predicted model, not a curated record
UUGAGGGGUUUCCUUCCUGGAGAUGGAUCUGGCUGGCAGAACCAACUUUGAUUUCUCAAUUUCUUCUCUGGCUCAUAGCUCUGCUUCUAGCUCUGCUGGUGUCUCUGAGGUCUGAGAUUGACAGUGGCCGUAGGAGACAUAGAGGGUGCAACCAUUGACCAAAACAACAUGUCAACCAUGAUGACUGCCACACCUAUAGACUAUUUAAGAGGAAAAGCAGCUUCUGGUGAGGCGGCAGACGGAGGUGUCACAUUUGAAGUCACAUACAUACAACGCAACCUCUCCCGGCUACUCGGAAACAUCUGGCAGACACCUGACCUAAGAGCAGCUGUCCCAUAGGCUGCCCCAAAAGAAGUGAUUAGCUCAGCCACUCAAAUCCCUCCAAAGUUUGAACUAGGAAGUACAGAAACUUACAGGGCUGUGUAAGUAGAGAUGCAGAGAAAAAUAGAGCAGCAACAGAGGGGACGCACAGUCUCCUGGAGGCAUAACUAGACAGCUAUAGAGUGAAGAUCCAUGAAGCCUUCCUCCUGGGGGUGGGGGGAGUGAUGUAGAAUGCUGUCUUGGGUGCAGAACUGCCCUCCAGGUCCAUUGUCCAUGAAGUUUGGCUCCAGGCAUGGAGCCGAGCCCCAUGCUUACCUCAGAUAACCUAGAAAUAGUCUGUUCCUGGCACAUUUACCAUCUACCAUAGA